This 528-nucleotide long non-coding RNA is filed under the name Androctonus crassicauda. The record is from RNAcentral. Lineage: Eukaryota; Metazoa; Arthropoda; Arachnida; Scorpiones; Buthidae.
AAAGGGUUUCUUUGUGUAGCCUUGGCUGUCCUUGAAUCUCUCUGUAGACCAGGCUGGCCUCAAACUCGUAGAGAUCUGCCUGCCUCUGCCUCCCGAGUGCUGGGAUUAAAGGCCUGUACCACCCCCCAGCUGAACCCAGGACCUCUUGCAUGCCAGGCAAGCAUUCUGCCAGUGAGCCACAUCCCCAGGUGGUGUCUUCCAGCAUAAUUAAUGUAUGUGUCGUGUGUAUACAGAGGAACUAAUGUAUGUGUUGUGUGUAUACAGAGGGAUUAAUGUAUGUGUUAUGUGUUUACAGAGGACAACUUGUAGGAAACAAUUUCCUCCUCCACCACAUGGUCCAGGGAUCAAACUCAGGCAGGGCUUUGCUGCAGGUGUGUCCUGAGUCCAUCACUAGCCACACCUGUGUUUUACGAGUAGAUUGAUGGCUAUAGCUUUCUCUCCACUACUGCAAGAAUUAAAAAGCCACCCGACUGUAGAAGAAGCUUCUUCAGGUUUCCACAGACACCACAGGCCCUAGGCUAAGGACAG